This is a long non-coding RNA of Triticum dicoccoides, 280 nucleotides long. RefSeq lists it as uncharacterized. Lineage: Eukaryota; Viridiplantae; Streptophyta; Magnoliopsida; Poales; Poaceae. The transcript has 3 exons. The record is from RefSeq and is a predicted model, not a curated record.
CCACUACAUGUUUGGUAAUGACGUGAUGUUGAGGCGGCUAGGAGAAGCUCAGCAGCCAGAUCAAGGGCUAUCGAGAUGGAUCUGGGAGCCAAGCAGUAGUUCUUCUGUUAAAUUUUGCUUGUUGGCAUAGAUGCGUGGCACUGCGGCAACUAAUCAAGAGCGAGGGCAGUGCACAUCAGAGCUACGCUGAAUGUAGCGAGCCAACCACGAAUUGGGAUGAAAGUAGCGCCAGCAGAAUCAGUAGGUUGGAUGGGAAGGCGGUUGUUGCCCUUGUCCCUUG